GCCCGGGUGGCGGAACGGUAGACGCGGAGCGCUUAAAACGCCCUGAGCGAAAGCUCGUGCCGGUUCGAGUCCGGCCCCGGGUA
Molecule: transfer RNA, 83 nt
Filed under: Deltaproteobacteria bacterium
Lineage: Bacteria; Pseudomonadati; Myxococcota; Myxococcia
Also listed under: 2 other names
Description: tRNA-Leu
Rfam family: tRNA
About the family: Transfer RNA (tRNA) molecules are approximately 80 nucleotides in length.
Source: RNAcentral